Molecule: ribosomal RNA, 228 nt
Filed under: uncultured bacterium
Lineage: Bacteria
Description: partial 16S ribosomal RNA
Rfam family: Bacterial small subunit ribosomal RNA
Source: RNAcentral
UACGAGGGGGGCGAGCGUUGUUCGGAAUUAUUGGGCGUAAAGGGUGCGUAGGCGGUUUGUUAAGUCUGCUGUGAAAUCCCCGGGCUCAACCUGGGAAUGGCAGUGGAUACUGGCAAGCUAGAGUGUGUCAGAGGAUGGUGGAAUUCCCGGUGUAGCGGUGAAAUGCGUAGAGAUCGGGAGGAACAUCAGUGGCGAAGGCGGCGAUCUGGGUCGGUACUGACGCUGAGG